UGAGGAAUUUUCCGCAAUGGGCGAAAGCCUGACGGAGCAAUACCGCGUGAGGGAUGAAGGAUUUUGGUCUGUAAACCUCUUUUCUCAAGAAAGAAGUUCUGACGGUACUUGAGGAAUAAGCCACGGCUAAUUCCGUGCCAGCAGCCGCGGUAAUACGGGAGUGGCAAGCGUUAUCCGGAAUUAUUGGGCGUAAAGCGUCCGCAGGCGGCCCUUCAAGUCUGCUGUUAAAAAGUGGAGCUUAACUCCAUCAUGGCAGUGGAAACUGUUGGGCUUGAGUGUGGUAGGGGCAGAGGGAAUUCCCGGUGUAGCGGUGAAAUGCGUAGAUAUCGGGAAGAACACCAGUGGCGAAGGCGCUCUGCUGGGCCAUCACUGACGCUCAUGGACGAAAGCCAGGGGAGCGAAAGGG
RNAcentral lists this ribosomal RNA (406 nucleotides) under uncultured bacterium. RNAcentral's name for it is "bacterial SSU rRNA". It matches the Rfam family "Bacterial small subunit ribosomal RNA", at positions 355 to 776 of the family's 1533-position model. The record is from RNAcentral.